ACCCUUUUCUGGUUUGUAAGUGUGAUGGUUGGUACUCAGUCUUUUGUACAUUAUGCGCACCCAGUAAGCCUUGUUACCUUGUGGGUAUGUUAUUGGUCUGAAG
This is a small nucleolar RNA of Acomys russatus (golden spiny mouse), 103 nucleotides long. RefSeq annotates it as small nucleolar RNA U13. The record is from RefSeq and is a predicted model, not a curated record. The transcript has a single exon. NCBI's taxonomy places the organism in Eukaryota, Metazoa, Chordata, Mammalia, Rodentia, Muridae.